Cyprinus carpio (common carp) is the source of this 1302-nucleotide long non-coding RNA. The record is from Ensembl. NCBI's taxonomy places the organism in Eukaryota, Metazoa, Chordata, Actinopteri, Cypriniformes, Cyprinidae.
AUGCUCAGUUCUCAUGGAGUGAAGCGUGAAGGACAGCCUGUGUGUGAGCAGCCUGCUUCCAAGGUUUUUGUGCAGACACAUUCUCAGCCUGAAUCCCAAACUAGAAUCAUUCAACACCAUCAGGAUCAGACGUUCUUCCAAAGCAGCAAUCUUUCUCUAGAGGGCCCAGUAGAACCUCAAAACCAAGAGCUCCAUUCUUCUCAGCUGCAGUCACAAUUGGAAACCACCAGUGGCAUACAACCCCAGUUUCUCCCCCAGGUUCAUGAAAAAUCUCCAAAAGCCCAGAGCAAAACUAUAUGCCAAGUACAGCAUGCAGAGCUCAAACAGACUUUGCUGUCAUCUGUUGUUAGCAGGAAGGUUCAGUUGAAACCCCAAACUGAUGUUCAACUGAUCUCUGUAGACUCAAGCCUAACCAGUCGCUUUGGACCUUCAGACCUUCAAGCUGCCUUAGUAAACUCAAGCCAAAAGAGUGGCUUUGGACCUUUACAGGUUAUCUCUGUAGACCCAAACCAAUCCAGUGACUUUGGACCAUCAGAGCAACAGGUUGUUUCUGCCACCUCAAGCCAAACCAGUGAUUUUAGACCAUUAGACUCUCUCCAGGUUAUAUCUGUGGACUCAGGUGAAACCAGGGGCUUUGGACCAUCAGACCUUCAGGUUAUCUCUGUAGACUCAAGCCAAAGCAGUGGCAUUGAACAUUCAAUCCCUCUACAGUCUUUCUCUUCAACGGCGUCUAGCCCAAGCAUGUUGCUUACAUCGGUUACCGUGACUCAACUAAGAAUGCCAGUCGAGCAGCAUCUUGAUUCACCACCACAAACCUUCUUGGUGACCCCACACCAAAGACAAAAGGUUCUGGCCAAAAGUCACAGUUUUCCAAAACCCCAUGAGCAAUCACAUACCUCAAUUGUAUCCUGCCCAAGCACUUUGCAUACACCGGUAACAGUGACUCAACAAAGAACGCCUGUCGAACAGAACCUUGGUUCACCACCGAAAAGGCAACCUCAGACCUCUGUGACAACCCAACAUCAAAGACAAAGGGUUCUAUCCAAAAGUCACAGCUUUCCACAGCCAUCAGAGGCUCCAGGUGUUCCUCAUGUCCCAGUACAGAAUGAGGUAUAUGCCAGAGCUCAGGCUUUGGCCAGGAGCAGACUGGAUAAAGCAAAACUGCACCUGCGUGAACACAUACAGGAUGUCAUCACAGUGAUCGGCACCAGAGACAGAUCUAAAAAACAAGCCAAGAAAAAACAGGUGAGGCCAUUUCAAAAUGUGGUGAGUUUUCAAUCCAAUAAUUAUUUAAUCAAAUAA